ACGGGAGGCAGCAGUGGGGAAUAUUGCACAAUGGGGGAAACCCUGAUGCAGCAACGCCGCGUGAGUGAAGAAGUAUUUCGGUAUGUAAAGCUCUAUCAGCAGGGAAGAAAAUGACGGUACCUGACUAAGAAGCCCCGGCUAACUAUGUGCCAGCAGCCGCGGUAAUACAUAGGGGGCAAGCGUUAUCCGGAUUUACUGGGUGUAAAGGGUGCGUAGGCGGCAUGGCAAGUCAGUCGUUAAAUACCGAUGCUUAACAUCGGAUCGGCGGUUGAAGCUGUCAAGCUAGAGUAUAGGAGAGGUAGACGGAAUUACUAGUGUAGAGGUGGAAUUCGUAGAUAUUAGUAAGAACACCGGUGGCGAAGGCGGUCUACUGGCCUAAAACAGACGCUGAGGCACGAAAGUGUGGGGAGCAAACAGGAUUAGAUACCCUGGUA
Molecule: ribosomal RNA, 434 nt
Filed under: uncultured Lachnospiraceae bacterium
Lineage: Bacteria; Bacillati; Bacillota; Clostridia; Lachnospirales; Lachnospiraceae
Description: bacterial SSU rRNA
Rfam family: Bacterial small subunit ribosomal RNA
Source: RNAcentral